This 894-nucleotide long non-coding RNA is filed under the name Equus asinus (donkey). RNAcentral describes it as "lncRNA (ENSEASG00005023644.1)". The record is from RNAcentral. Lineage: Eukaryota; Metazoa; Chordata; Mammalia; Perissodactyla; Equidae.
ACCUGGGGAGUGUUAAACACUUCUGACGCCUGGGUCCCAGGCCCAGAGAUGCCAACUUCACUUGUCUGGGAUGUAGCCUGGCUAUCUUUUUUUCCUGAAAUCUCCCCAGGUGGUUCCCGGGUGCAGCCUAAGUUGAGAACUACUGUCCCAGAAGGCCGCCUGUUCUGAGGAAUUCUUCCAUCAUCGUUAAGCUGCUCUUUAUUAAGCUGGCUCGCCGGCAGGAGUUGACUUGGUAUCAGGUGACUUCUAAGUUAGAGCAGCCUGGUGCCGUGUUACAGCCCUGCUUCAAUUACCUUACCUGGAGUAAGUACUAUUUUUACAUCUGAUGACCCACUGUGUGCCAUCGCCUAUCUACUGGGCUGGAUGCGCGUAUACAAAGACAAUAAAGCCAGAACUUCUCUCAAGGUGUUUACAACCUGCUGUUUUUCUCCUUGAGUGAAUAUGAUCAGUGACAGGGAUCCUGAAAGGAGAGCACAAUAAAGCUCUGCAGAAGCCUCCAUCUGCCAAAAUAAGCUCUGGGAGAAGCCAGGUGCCAUGUUGUGAGGACACUGGAGCACCCCUAAGGAGGCCUGUGUUGUGGGAACUGAGGCCUCCUGCCAUCAGCCAGCACCCACUUGCCAGCCAUGUGAAUAAACUAUCUUGGAAGUGGAUCCUCCAGCCCAUUAUGUCCUCAAAUGACAGCAAAUUCAUGAACGACUGUGAGCCAGAACCACCCAGCUAAGUCACUACCAAAUUCUUGACCCACAGAAACUGAGAUAAUACAUAAUAUUUAUUAUUGUUUUAAGCUACUAGGUUUUGGGGGCAUUUUUUACCUAAUAGGCAACUAAUAUGGUAGAUGUGUUUUGUACAAUGCUUUGUUACUGAAAUGGCUCUAGAUUUGCAAGUCACUACUUC